UAAUGAUUUUAUUUUUUGGAUUAUAUGGUAAAUAUAUAAUUUUUAUUAUAAUGAAAAUAUAGAUGUUUCUUUGUAAUAUUAAUUACAUAGAAUUAGUUCCAUAGUGGACUCUGAUUAGGGUUUGUAAAACGGAUUGAAACGGUUUAAUCUAGUUUUUAUUUGUGAGGUGGGUUGAGAUUUCGAGUCUGCUACCACUAGUUUGUCCAUCCCACCUAAUCCGCUAAAAAAAUGAGACAGAACUGAACAGAGUCGGCCCCAACUAUCUGGAAGUCGUGCUCGAAUGUUAAAAAUGGACACUGAUAAAAAAAAAUUAAAAAGAAUAAUCCUUUAUUACAGAAUGUUAUAUCUAGUACUGGAUUACAUGAAAUAAUCUAAACUAUAAUUACAACUCAAACAUCUCUAUUUUAUUUAUAUACAAGAUAGUUUACAAUUAUAAAGAUUAUAUCUAAAAGUUUUUCUCCGUGCCAAAGCUUCUGUCAAUGAUGUACCUGUCUUAUCUGAAGAAAAAAAUAGAGUGUGGGUUGAGAUAAAAUCUCAAACUACCCUCAACCCUUCUAACACGAAUAACCGGAUUUUCUAACUGCCUAUCAUCAGAUAAAAUAGAAUAAGAUAAUUAGUACAGUUUCUAUUCAACGGUAAUAAAUAAAAGUUGAACACACAAGUAUUAUUAUCUUGUCAACUUUACUCUACAAGUCAACUGAGCGUGAGCGUUCUCAGAAGCCUUGCCUAUCCGGAUGGAAAUAUCAUCGCGGACAUCUACUCAUCAUUCUUAUUUCUUUGCACUUGUAAACUUUUCAUACUUAUGCCUAUACCAAUUCUAAUACUUUCUAGAUCGAUAAAUUAUUGAUCUCAACAUAUUUAUAUUCACAAUAAUAUGUCAUUAUUCUCUAACCACAAAGGUUCAUUCUUAUCUUUCCUUUAGUUAUAAAUUAAAAGGAAACUAUGCUCAUUGGGGAAAAAAGGGUAUCUAUGAGCAUUAUUUCCAAUUCUCUAAUUAAUUAACAAUUUUCUAUUAAUAAAAUUGAUUCUCUUUUCAAUUAGUUCUAAUGUUUUGAACUAACAUUAUCUUGUUAAGAACCCACUUGGGGUUGGUCUAGUGGUGUUGGCUUAGGUCCUUGGAGUAUGCUCCUCUCAAGGUCUCAGGUUCGAUUCCCCCAUUGCCAAUUUCGGUGGGCUAAGUACAUACGGAGCAAAAAAAAACUCUGUCUUUAAAUGGGCCCCCGCAAGUGGGCGGUGGGAUUGGUCUCCUUGGAUUAGUCGGUCCUAAGGCCGGAUACCAAGUUUUCAAAAAAAAAAAAAAUUAUCUUGUUAAGUUUCCAAACUAAGGGAACUAAUGCUCAAUGGGGAAAAUUGUCUAUGAGCAUUAUUCUAGUUGCAAUCUAAUUACUCUUCAACUAUGAUUAAUAUUUUAAUCACUUUCCUAUAGUUCUAUAAUUAUAAGAAUUAAUCCUAAGUAAAGAAAACUUAGAUUACUACUCUAUUGUGCCUCUACUAACAUUAAAACCCUAAAAAUUACACAAAAAUAGCAGUAACGAACCUGCACCUCUUUGGGGUUUGAUGGAAUGAUAACUUUCAUGCAUCAUUUUCUCUGAAUCAAAUCUCCUCUUGAUUUCUAUUUGAUUCCAUCUUCUCCAUUUUGGUUCCCAAUUAAAAACCCUAAUUUAAUCAUGAGUCUUUAGCCCACAACUUCUUCUUCUAUCUUCUACAUUGAGUCUUCUGAUUAAUUACCCAUUGAAACUCAAAAAACCACAUGAUUUUGCAUGUAAGGCUGUUACAAAUGGAAUGGAGAAGAGAAUGCAUUUGAGAUGAAGGAGAGUAUAGAUCGGAUUCGGUGUACAGAGAGCCAAAUAGGAAGUGAAAUGAAUUUUCUUUUUCUUUUC
RNAcentral lists this long non-coding RNA (1880 nucleotides) under Trifolium pratense (red clover). RNAcentral describes it as "long non-coding RNA (TPRA_LNC006135)". Lineage: Eukaryota; Viridiplantae; Streptophyta; Magnoliopsida; Fabales; Fabaceae. The record is from RNAcentral.